GGUGGCUCAGUGGUAGAGCGCCUGCCUUGCAUGCAUGAGGCCCUGGGUUCAAUUCCUCAGCACCA
Molecule: non-coding RNA, 65 nt
Organism: Dipodomys ordii (Ord's kangaroo rat)
Lineage: Eukaryota; Metazoa; Chordata; Mammalia; Rodentia; Heteromyidae
Source: Rfam